AUUGAACGCUGGCGGAAUGCUUUACACAUGCAAGUCGAACGGCAGCACGGGGCAACCUGGUGGCGAGUGGCGAACGGGUGAGUAAUAUAUCGGAACGUGCCCAAUCGUGGGGGAUAACGUAGCGAAAGUUACGCUAAUACCGCAUACGAUCUACGGAUGAAAGCGGGGGAUCGCAAGACCUCGCGCGAAUGGAGCGGCCGAUAUCAGAUUAGGUAGUUGGUGGGGUAAAGGCUCACCAAGCCAACGAUCUGUAGCUGGUCUGAGAGGACGACCAGCCACACUGGAACUGAGACACGGUCCAGACUCCUACGGGAGGCAGCAGUGGGGAAUUUUGGACAAUGGGCGCAAGCCUGAUCCAGCCAUUCCGCGUGCAGGAUGAAGGCCUCGG
RNAcentral lists this ribosomal RNA (388 nucleotides) under uncultured bacterium. Its description in RNAcentral is "bacterial SSU rRNA". It matches the Rfam family "Bacterial small subunit ribosomal RNA", at positions 30 to 420 of the family's 1533-position model. The record is from RNAcentral.